AGCGUACACGGUGGAUGCCCUGGCAGUCAGAGGCGAUGAAGGACGUGCUAAUCUGCGAUAAGCGUCGGUAAGGUGAUAUGAACCGUUAUAACCGGCGAUUUCCGAAUGGGGAAACCCAGUGUGUUUCGACACACUAUCAUUAACUGAAUCCAUAGGUUAAUGAGGCGAACCGGGGGAACUGAAACAUCUAAGUACCCCGAGGAAAAGAAAUCAACCGAGAUUCCCCCAGUAGCGGCGAGCGAACGGGGAGCAGCCCAGAGCCUGAAUCAGUGUGUGUGUUAGUGGAAGCGUCUGGAAAGGCGCGCGAUACAGGGUGACAGCCCCGUACACAAAAAUGCACAUGCUGUGAGCUCGAUGAGUAGGGCGGGACACGUGGUAUCCUGUCUGAAUAUGGGGGGACCAUCCUCCAAGGCUAAAUACUCCUGACUGACCGAUAGUGAACCAGUACCGUGAGGGAAAGGCGAAAAGAACCCCGGCGAGGGGAGUGAAAAAGAACCUGAAACCGUGUACGUACAAGCAGUGGGAGCACGCUUAGGCGUGUGACUGCGUACCUUUUGUAUAAUGGGUCAGCGACUUAUAUUCUGUAGCAAGGUUAACCGAAUAGGGGAGCCGAAGGGAAACCGAGUCUUAACUGGGCGUUAAGUUGCAGGGUAUAGACCCGAAACCCGGUGAUCUAGCCAUGGGCAGGUUGAAGGUUGGGUAACACUAACUGGAGGACCGAACCGACUAAUGUUGAAAAAUUAGCGGAUGACUUGUGGCUGGGGGUGAAAGGCCAAUCAAACCGGGAGAUAGCUGGUUCUCCCCGAAAGCUAUUUAGGUAGCGCCUCGUGAAUUCAUCUCCGGGGGUAGAGCACUGUUUCGGCAAGGGGGUCAUCCCGACUUACCAACCCGAUGCAAACUGCGAAUACCGGAGAAUGUUAUCACGGGAGACACACGGCGGGUGCUAACGUCCGUCGUGAAGAGGGAAACAACCCAGACCGCCAGCUAAGGUCCCAAAGUCAUGGUUAAGUGGGAAACGAUGUGGGAAGGCCCAGACAGCCAGGAUGUUGGCUUAGAAGCAGCCAUCAUUUAAAGAAAGCGUAAUAGCUCACUGGUCGAGUCGGCCUGCGCGGAAGAUGUAACGGGGCUAAACCAUGCACCGAAGCUGCGGCAGCGACGCUUAUGCGUUGUUGGGUAGGGGAGCGUUCUGUAAGCCUGCGAAGGUGUGCUGUGAGGCAUGCUGGAGGUAUCAGAAGUGCGAAUGCUGACAUAAGUAACGAUAAAGCGGGUGAAAAGCCCGCUCGCCGGAAGACCAAGGGUUCCUGUCCAACGUUAAUCGGGGCAGGGUGAGUCGACCCCUAAGGCGAGGCCGAAAGGCGUAGUCGAUGGGAAACAGGUUAAUAUUCCUGUACUUGGUGUUACUGCGAAGGGGGGACGGAGAAGGCUAUGUUGGCCGGGCGACGGUUGUCCCGGUUUAAGCGUGUAGGCUGGUUUUCCAGGCAAAUCCGGAAAAUCAAGGCUGAGGCGUGAUGACGAGGCACUACGGUGCUGAAGCAACAAAUGCCCUGCUUCCAGGAAAAGCCUCUAAGCAUCAGGUAACAUCAAAUCGUACCCCAAACCGACACAGGUGGUCAGGUAGAGAAUACCAAGGCGCUUGAGAGAACUCGGGUGAAGGAACUAGGCAAAAUGGUGCCGUAACUUCGGGAGAAGGCACGCUGAUAUGUAGGUGAAGCGACUUGCUCGUGGAGCUGAAAUCAGUCGAAGAUACCAGCUGGCUGCAACUGUUUAUUAAAAACACAGCACUGUGCAAACACGAAAGUGGACGUAUACGGUGUGACGCCUGCCCGGUGCCGGAAGGUUAAUUGAUGGGGUUAGCGCAAGCGAAGCUCUUGAUCGAAGCCCCGGUAAACGGCGGCCGUAACUAUAACGGUCCUAAGGUAGCGAAAUUCCUUGUCGGGUAAGUUCCGACCUGCACGAAUGGCGUAAUGAUGGCCAGGCUGUCUCCACCCGAGACUCAGUGAAAUUGAACUCGCUGUGAAGAUGCAGUGUACCCGCGGCAAGACGGAAAGACCCCGUGAACCUUUACUAUAGCUUGACACUGAACAUUGAGCCUUGAUGUGUAGGAUAGGUGGGAGGCUUUGAAGUGUGGACGCCAGUCUGCAUGGAGCCGACCUUGAAAUACCACCCUUUAAUGUUUGAUGUUCUAACGUUGACCCGUAAUCCGGGUUGCGGACAGUGUCUGGUGGGUAGUUUGACUGGGGCGGUCUCCUCCUAAAGAGUAACGGAGGAGCACGAAGGUUGGCUAAUCCUGGUCGGACAUCAGGAGGUUAGUGCAAUGGCAUAAGCCAGCUUGACUGCGAGCGUGACGGCGCGAGCAGGUGCGAAAGCAGGUCAUAGUGAUCCGGUGGUUCUGAAUGGAAGGGCCAUCGCUCAACGGAUAAAAGGUACUCCGGGGAUAACAGGCUGAUACCGCCCAAGAGUUCAUAUCGACGGCGGUGUUUGGCACCUCGAUGUCGGCUCAUCACAUCCUGGGGCUGAAGUAGGUCCCAAGGGUAUGG
Molecule: ribosomal RNA, 2537 nt
Filed under: Escherichia coli
Lineage: Bacteria; Pseudomonadati; Pseudomonadota; Gammaproteobacteria; Enterobacterales; Enterobacteriaceae
Description: bacterial LSU rRNA
Rfam family: Bacterial large subunit ribosomal RNA
Source: RNAcentral